RNAcentral lists this ribosomal RNA (253 nucleotides) under uncultured bacterium. RNAcentral's name for it is "partial 16S ribosomal RNA". It matches the Rfam family "Bacterial small subunit ribosomal RNA", at positions 524 to 776 of the family's 1533-position model. The record is from RNAcentral.
UACAGAGGGGGCAAGCGUUGUUCGGAAUUACUGGGCGUAAAGGGCGCGUAGGCGGCCUGCUAAGUCGAACGUGAAAUCCCCGGGCUCAACCCGGGAACUGCGUCCGAUACUGGCAGGCUUGAAUUCGGGAGAGGGGUGCGGAAUUCCAGGUGUAGCGGUGAAAUGCGCAGAUAUCAGGAGGAACACCGAUGGCGAAGGCAGGUCUCUGGGCAUUAACUGACGCUGAGGAGCGAAAGCAUGGGGAGCGAACAGG